Molecule: long non-coding RNA, 577 nt
Organism: Pelodiscus sinensis (Chinese soft-shelled turtle)
Lineage: Eukaryota; Metazoa; Chordata; Testudines; Trionychidae
Source: RefSeq, a predicted model, not a curated record
GAACUUAUUCAGUGACACCUGAUGUUUGUACAGUAAAUUGUAAAUUUAACAGCUGAACAUGAACAGAAAUGUAGUUUAAUAUAUGGUAUAAAAAACACUCUUCAGAAGGUACCUACUCCCAUCUGUUCAUCACAAGAAGAUAGCUCAUAUGGCAGUGAGACUGCAAGAGGAAAUCAGGCCCAGAACAGAAGCGACAUUUUCUAUCUUUGCUGUUCUCUUCUGACCCCUUUUGCAUGUCUUCACCUUGUUUUGCUUUUAAAUAAAUGGACUGGGCUUUAACAUUAGCAGCAACAACUGCCUGAUGUUGACAUCUUUAAAACAAUUUCAAGGACUGUCAGGCAAGAGGAUUUUCCUCAUAAAAGCUAAAGGCUAAGGUUCUCAUCUUCCGCAACAUUUUCCAUUGCUUCUCAAACAAGUGAAGUCAGCGAUUUUUCUCCUGGGGGAGCAGUACAGCUGUCAGUAUCCCAAUCUACCCUCAAAAUGUGGUAUUCAUUUAAGAGUUCCGGGGAAGAGCAAAAUAGAUGUAACCUUAUUUGUUUAUUUUUAAAUUGUCAUGUUGUUUCAGAUCAUUGAAGAA